Molecule: non-coding RNA, 2144 nt
Organism: Momordica charantia (bitter melon)
Lineage: Eukaryota; Viridiplantae; Streptophyta; Magnoliopsida; Cucurbitales; Cucurbitaceae
Source: RefSeq, a predicted model, not a curated record
UUCCCCAUCUUUCGUUUGAAUGAAAGUUUAUAGGAGACAUCUCUGUUCCCAACUUGCUUCUUCUGAGAUCAAAAAUGGAAAUUAGAUAUUUUCAGAGGAAAAAAUAUCAAAAUUAGAUUACCGAAGUAGGAACUUGUCCCACAUCGAAGACAUUCAAACAACAAGUGCAAUACUUAAACGGAAGUGCGAAGGGGAUUGGGCACGACCUUACUUGAACAGGAUCUGUUCUAUAGGUUGUACAACUGUUUCCUUGAGUUCUAAGGAGGCAAGAAUCAUAGUCUGGUGGAUGAACCACUGCCCUGCGGCUAGAGCGUGAUUAAUGGCUCAUCGGAUCUUGGUCCGGCGGCUGUAGAGGAUCGUUCUCGGCAUGGCUCGUCCUGCUGGGAUGGUCGCGGGGCGGUCUGACAGACUACUACAAUUUUUGGAUUUUUGACUUCUUCUGCUAUGUUGUUUUUUUUUUUUUUUUUUUUUUUGUUUCUGUUCUUGCUGGCUUCAGGUUGACAUAGCUCUCUAUUUUGUAGAAUGGGUGCGUGUAUUUUUGUGAGAACGACGAAGGAUGGUUAUGGGAAAUGUGGAUGUUCAGUUUACACUCAUAAAGUGUUUGGCGAAAUGCCUCAGAGAGAGGUGUAAACCGAAAUGGGUGAAGCUGAAGGGGAAGGGGAUGGAGAUAAUGGAUAUGGUUGACAGUGUCAUCAAUAUUAAACUGUACUUCACUUUAUAAGUAUCAUUACUUUGGAAGUUAUAUAGACACGUAAAAUCCUUUUACCAUUUCCUUUCUGUACUGUUUCUAUUCUCAGCUUUCUUGCGGCCAGUUUCAUUGUUGAAUUAUAUGUGUAGUUAUGAUGUGACUCUGCGAUAGGGAUGAUAGUGGGUUAUGAGAAAUAUGGAUAUUCUGUUUAUGCUCCUCAAGUGUUUGGUGAAAUGCCGCAGAGGGAGUUGGAUUGGAGUUUAGGUUUUCAGUUAAACUUCAACCCAAUUCCUGCAUAUGUUUCAUGGGAGAAUGAAGUCGGAUCGGUUUCUUUUUGUGGGAAUUAGUCAACAACUGUUUUUUUGUUGUUGGAAUUUAUUUUGCCAUCUUGUCUUUCUAUGCUAAAAUGAAGGAAGGGGUGAAAGAGAAGAGGAUGGGUUAUUGGGUGUCUUGUGUUCACCAAAAUUCAUAGGCUGAACAAAUGCAACAUUUGGGGUGGCCAAUGUGUUAGUUGAUUGUUCAAAAUCUACCAUUCUUUGCCAUUUAAUACUGCCCCUUUACUGAAUUUAUUCACAAUGGACAAACAGUAUAAACUAUAAAGCUUCAUCACUUAGAGAAGCAAUGGGAGUCUUGUUUUAGUCAGAAUGGACAUUUUGAUAAGGCAGUUGAGAGUUGUUCAACCAAAUGGAACCAACCAUUGAUAUUUGCUUCUGCUACAAAAAUGUUUCAGUUAAAUCUUAAACAAACAUGUUGAUUGUUGUGGCCUCAAUCUAAGUUACAAAUAAUGUGUUCAACUUCAGGUUUAGCAGACCAUGGAUCCCUUAUAUAAGUUGAUUUAAAAGAACAAAUCAACCUCCAUUAUGGCGUCGUCUCCUUCUCAGCUUCAGAAGCAGACUUCAGAAAGUCAGGUUCCAUGCCAAAUUUGAUUUUUUAUUUGAUUGUGGUGGCCAACAACGGGUCCAGCUUCAAGUUUAGAAGAUGAUGAUAUCUUCUCCGUGGUUGGAAUAAUCAUCAUACGUACCUGCUGUCUUCACUACAGAGAAAUGAAAUGACAGAGGAGUUCUUUCAUCACAGGUAUCUCUGCCAAACACUGCUCUAGGAUCAUCAAUACGCUGCCUUUGAACACUGGGCUAAGAAUGAGGACAAGGAAGAGCUUGCAGCCGUUCAAGCAAGACUCAGGAAAUGGUUUGAGUUCAAUAUAAUGUUGUUUGAACUUACAAGACUAUGAUUCAGCAAUCUUUGAAAAAUUUAAGCAAAAGAUGAGAAGUAUUGCUAAGAAAAAAUUUGUGUGUGUAAGUAGGCGUUUUCCCUCUCCUUGCCUUCUUGCUUCCUUGCCACCUUUGUCUUACCAAAAGUUUAAGUUGCAGAUAACGAAAAUGCAAAAGAGACGAAGAAACUUUAUUAAAGCAUAUUUAUUGAAGUACCUUGUGAUAAAGUCGGAGAUGUUGUGGCAACA